UGCCACUGAGCAUGCUCAGCUGCUCUGAAAUCUCUCCUUAAUUUUUUGCCCUUACUUGGAAUCGGAUUUACGAAUCCCGUUCACAAGACGGAGAGGCGUCCCUUUUAAAGGAAAGAGGGCACAAAGGGAUAUGUUGCUAUUAGAUAAUGCGAAAGGAAACGAAAUUUAGUGUGUAUUGUUUUAAUUCUGCAAAAUUAACGUGCCCAGGCGUUGAACGCACAAAGAGUCCUUACCUAGUUGCCAUCUGGAGGGGAUUUUAUUGGCUUAGCCAAGAUUUCAUUCUUUUGAUUGGGUGCCACAACAGGAGAAUUAAGCCAAGCCAAUCAUUUUCACAGGAUGUCCCCAUAUUCUUGGAUUAUGAGGGAGUUGACCUGCCUUGACAGGACUUUCUGUUCCUUCUGGGGCAGAAAAAGAAAACAAAGGCGUGUGAAAAGACUCUGUCACCUGUUUGAGCCUGAACUUUGAACUGAGAGCCCAGCUGGCAACUUCAGAGCUGGGCGUGUUUCUUCCAAACCUUUCGGUAGUGCUUCUGGUGUCAGCAGCUGCUGUGGAAUGCAAGCAGGUAAACAGCUCCGAAGAUCCCUGGACCACUUGAGCGAGGAGUUAAUGGAGGCUUUGGAGUAGCAGGUAGCUGCCCACGUUUACAUGCUCAGGUCCGACGCUGACCUGAUUCCCCCUUCCGCAUUCUCCCAGAACUGGAGAGAAUGAGGGUGCUUCCACACCUUCAAGAAUAAUCAGUGGCAGAUCUAGCUAGCCCCAUUCCUUGUGCAUCCACAUACAAGCCAGCAUCCACAUACAAGCCAGCAUCCACCCAAGGCCCACCCAGGAUCACUCCCCCCCCCAUUUAACAGGCACAAGAGCUUCCACCACCGCUCCUUGCCUCCCGACUGCUUCCUUGAAGGCCAUCUUCUGCUGUUCCACCUUAAAUAUAUCUUUUGACAUCCCACCUCGAAGAGCUCUCUCUCUCUGUCUCUAGGACACACCAGAAGGACGCAGGCCAACUUUGCAGCAUAGAGGCUGUAAGGGAGAGUCUUGAACAAGGAGCACAGCAUUUCCCAAUGGAUACCUGGCCCUGGAGCAACGAAGAGGAGUCUCCCUUCAAAGGGUUGCCCCCCUUGCCUAAAGCUUUCAAGGAGCCCAGCUUGCCUCCAUCUCCUCUGCCUGGGGAAGGAGAGCAGGAAGCGGUCAACGUGCUUGAGGGGCGCACCGCCAGCCUCCAAGACAAGAUCACCUGGGUGCACAGGGAAAUGCUCAGCUUGCGCUUGGCUGAUCUGGCCCUUUUCAAUCAGCUCUACACCCUCGCGCUGGAAAUCCAGGACCUGAAGGAGCUGCACCAGGAGAUGGAAACUUUCUCCAGGGAGGAGCUGCUUGCAGAUGAGCACGGCCAGCUAGGAGGUAUCAGUGCAGCUACAAACAUCCACUCUGCUGCAGCUUUCGAACUGACCAUCUGAAAAUGGGGAGGCAGUGUCCAUCUCCGAUUCGUUAUUACUCCCAUGCAAAUUAUUGCUUGACACUCCAGGCGCUGAGCGAUCAACGUGCAUGUGUGAAUGUGCCUUUAGUUCCAAGAUUUGGAGUGUGAUCCCCAAGCUCUUGAUUUCUCUAACCCCAUCCUCACAAUCUAGAGAAAAUGGAGUAGACCUAGUGUUUUGCAAAAAAACUCUCUUUAAGUGCUCUUAACCUCUGCUUGGAGAAGUCAUUUUCUGUUGCUUUUGGAAGUUGAUGCUAGCUGACCUCCAAGGGGAAAGGUCUUUCACAUUUCGUGCAUGUUUACCUACCUUGUAUUGUAGUGCCUUUAAGCUGUAGCCUGACACACAGGAAUUAAGGAGACGUAUUCUCCUGACACGGAGAUAAAGCGAAGGUAAAAGUUUCACCAUCAAAGCAUCUACAAACCAGACUGCAGAGAAGCAAAGCCACUAAAAAAAAAAAAGUGGCAACCCUAUUUCCACCCCAUCUUCCUUCUACUAGUAAAUCCAGUUGUGUUCACAGAGCAUCAUAAUUUCAACAAUGGUGAAGAAUCAACUAUUUUAGAAAAUCUAUAUUAGGAGACUAAGUGUAAAACAUUUUUACAAAAUACAGUCAUUGUGGCAAUAGAGCUAGUUCCUGGGUGAUGCAAAUAAGCUUUGUCACAGUCUCUAAUGAAAAGCAGGCACAAGUAGUUUUUCUCCAAGAACAGGCACCAGCGGUUUGGGCCACUGAAGCAUCUUCCCAUCUGGCCACUUAGCUGUCUUGAUUUAUCUUUCUUGCUAAUUUCAGCCACUCACCAAUCUGGGAGGCAAUUUGCUGUAGGAGGGAUGAUGGCGGGGGGGGGAGCAGAAACAGAGAAAACAAAACAGGGUUGGCCUCUGUAGUUAACAGAGAAUGCUCCAUAUCCCCACAGAACCCACACUGCCAGACUCCUGCCUAAACCCCAAUUUACAGGCCAUUCUCCUAAUUCAGAGCCAAUACGUAGAUGAAAAACAGUAUUCAAAUACUGUAAAAUAAGUUAGGACAGGGACAGCCAGUGUGGUGCCCUCCAGACAGGGCUGGCACCAGGCAUGACUGGACCCUUGGCCACCAGCCUGCCCUGGGCUGGCAGCACCCUGUAGCCCAACACUGAUUCAGGUGGCGCAGGGCUAAUAAGCCCACCUACCUCUUGUGCUAUGUGAAUGAAGUGGGUGUGUAGUGCACAUGCCUGCCAACAAUGAAGAUGGCAGGCAUGCGUGCACAGCCCGCACGGCAUUCACACUGAUGGGAGUGAUAGGUGGGGCGUGUGUGCAGGCUUAUUGAAGCUUGCACUGUCUGUAUUGGGGGGGGCUGCCUGGGAGCUCCCUCUCCGCAAUCUGUGGCAGGGUUGGGUUUCAGGGCCUGACAUUGCAGCAGAUCACAGAAUGGGAGCUCCACCCUAAGGAGGGGCCCUUCAGGGGCUCCUCUGGGCUGCAAGGGCCCAAACUGGCUGCCCUCUGGUGCUAGCACUGCCUCCAGAUGUUUUGGACUACAACUCCCAUCAUCCCUAGCUAUUGGCCAUGCUGGCUGGGGUUGAUGGGAGCUGGAGUCCACAACUACAUCUGGAGGGCACCCUGUUGGCUGACCCCAAUUCACUUCACAAUAUCUGAAUACUGAAUUUCAAUAAUCAGAGGUUUCCUCCCAUAAUCGCUUUGGUUUUAGACUGCUGUGAAGAUGAACAAAUAUUUGGGUGUGUGGGUAACUUAUUGAACUGUGCCCAGUCAAUAGAAUCCCCAUCUUGUUCAGGGUCAGUCUUUCCCAUUCUGGUGGCUGCUUUGGACUAAAACUCCCAUCAGCCUAGCUAAACAAUGCUGGGGCUGAUGGGAGUUGUAGUCCAAAACACCUGGAUGGCACCAGGUUGGGAAAGGCUGCAAUAAGCCUUUGAACAACAGAUGCUGGGGACAAACACAGGGAAGACCAUUCCUCAGAUGUCCAACAUUUGGGUGGUCAUUGCUAGAAAGAAGAGCCCUGCAGGAUCAGGCCAAGGGUCCAAGCAGCCCAGAAUCCUAUGUUUUUAGGCAGGAAUAGGGAACCUUAGGCCCUCCAGGUGUUGCUGCACUUCAACUCCCAUCAGCCCUAGCAAGCGUGGUCCGUGGCCAGGGUUGAUGGCAGUUGUAGUUCAGCAGCACCUGGGGCGGGGGGGGGCAAAGGUUCCCCACACUCUUGGUGCUGACCACUGUGAAGGCUCACAGACUACAAAUUGGGUCUUUAUAGGCAGGGCUGGCCCCAAUGGGAGGGCCCCUGGAGCCACAGAGGUCCCUGAGGGGCCUCUCGAUAGGGUGGGGGAGGAGUAGCACUCCUUUCCCACUAUCUGCAGCAGAGUAGCUGCCGCGGAUCACAGGGAGGGAGCUUCUUCCACCCGCCUGUUUGCUGGCUCCAUCUACCUGUUUCUCCUGUCUUUUGAGGUUGCACGGGCUGCGUGCACAGAACUGCCAUUAACCAAGAUGGCGGCCAAGGUUUCCCUAAGGGGCUGAAGCCUCCAGCGCCAUCUUGGUUGAUGGCAACAAUGCAUGCGUGUAGCAGCCUGCUCAGUGGAGCCAGCAAACAGGCAGGCAGAAGAAACUCCCUUCCUGCGAGAGACAUGUUCGCGCGCGUGUGAGUGCACACACCGGGACCCCAGCAUGUCUGGCACCGGCUCUGUUUAUAGGAGGGAAGGGAACUUCCCCAAAGGGUUCUGCAAUCCAGUCAAAUCCUUUCCGUGUUGCCUUCAGCCCCAAACCAUCCAGGCUGGCGGAAACAGAACCCCCGAGAACAGUUCUGGAUUCCAGCCUAAUUCUUUCCCAAACUACCUCCGGCCCCAGAACGUUCAGGCUCAGCUCCCUGGCCCACUCUCACCUCUUUAGCGUGGACAAGGGGCAAAGGGUCUGUAGAGCUGGACGAAGACAUGUCGGCACAGUGGGCAGUGCCGUUGAUUAAAAUGGCCAGUUCAGAGCUGGACUGGUUCUUGAGGACACUCAGGGCAUGCCAAGGAUCAAUGUCCCCUGGGAAGAAAGAGGGCAGGGGUUAAAAAACCAGCAACAAGGAGAGAAAGUAAACUGAUUAGCAAAUCUGAUCCAGUGGGAGAGGCAGAUCUCAGAAGCAAAGCUCCAACGCCAAGGUGGGGAAGAAAUGUCCCGAUACUCUCCCUGGCAAAUGUGUUUAGUGGUAUAGACACCUGAGAAGAGAGCCCUCCUUGGCUUAGAUCAGGGGUUCCCAAACUGUGGUCUGUAGACCACGAGUGGCCCGCGAGCUUCAUUCAGGUGGUCUGGGGCAUGUCUGUGGAUUUCAAGAUGGGAGACGCCACACCCAUUGCAUUAAAUAUUCACAUUGAUUUUCAAUUGCAUUUUUAUGCUUCCUUUCUUUCUUACACUUGAAUUCCAUGGGAGGAAGGGGGGGGGAAAGAAAUUUAAUAAAUAAUAAUAAUGUAAGAAAUAAAAGCGAUGAA
Molecule: long non-coding RNA, 4906 nt
Organism: Rhineura floridana
Lineage: Eukaryota; Metazoa; Chordata; Lepidosauria; Squamata; Rhineuridae
Exons: 4
Source: RefSeq, a predicted model, not a curated record